Molecule: ribosomal RNA, 536 nt
Filed under: uncultured marine bacterium
Lineage: Bacteria
Description: bacterial SSU rRNA
Rfam family: Bacterial small subunit ribosomal RNA
Source: RNAcentral
GUCGAACGAGAUCUUCGGAUCUAGUGGCAGACGGGUGAGUAACGCGUGGGAACCUGCCCAGUAGUAGAGGACAACUUGGGGAAACUUAAGCUAAUACUUUAUACGUCCUUCGGGAGAAAGCUUUAUGCGCUAUUGGAUGGGCCCGCGUUAGAUUAGUUUGUUGGUGAGGUAAUGGCUCACCAAGACUACGAUCUAUAGCUGGUCUGAGAGGAUGAUCAGCCACACUGGGACUGAGACACGGCCCAGACUCCUACGGGAGGCAGCAGUGGGGAAUAUUGGACAAUGGGGGCAACCCUGAUCCAGCGAUGCCGCGUGAGUGAUGAAGGCCCUAGGGUUGUAAAACUCUUUCGUCAGGGAAGAUAAUGACGGUACCUGAAGAAGAAGAUCCGGCUAACUCCGUGCCAGCAGCCGCGGUAAUACGGAGGGAUCUAGCGUUAUUCGGAAUUACUGGGCGUAAAGCGAGCGUAGGCGGAUUUGUAAGUUGGAGGUGAAAUCCCAGAGCUUAACUCUGGAACUGCCUCAAAAACUACAUUUCU